AUUGAACGCUUGCGGCAGGCUUAACACAUGCAAGUCGAACGAGCGGCGGACGGGUGAGUAAUGUCUGGGCAACUGCCUGCGGGAGGGGGAUAACUACUGGAAAAGGUAGCUAAUACCGCAUACCAUCAGAUGUGCCCAGAGGGGAUUAGCUAGUGGGUGGGGUAAAGGCUCACCUAAGCGACGAUCCCUAGCUGGUCUGAGAGGAUGACCAGCCACACUGUAACUGAGACACGGUCCAGACUCCUUCGGGAGGCAUAAGUGGGGAAUAUUGCACAAUGGGCGCAAGCCUGAUGCAGCCAUACCGCGUGUCUGAAGAAGGCCUUCGGGUUGUAAAGCACUUUCAGCGAGGAGGCGUUACUCGCAGAAGAAGCACCGGCUAAAUCCGUGCCAGCAGCCGCGGUAAUAC
RNAcentral lists this ribosomal RNA (406 nucleotides) under uncultured bacterium. RNAcentral describes it as "partial 16S ribosomal RNA". It matches the Rfam family "Bacterial small subunit ribosomal RNA", at positions 30 to 526 of the family's 1533-position model. The record is from RNAcentral.